RNAcentral lists this ribosomal RNA (331 nucleotides) under uncultured Azospirillum sp. RNAcentral's name for it is "bacterial SSU rRNA". It matches the Rfam family "Bacterial small subunit ribosomal RNA", at positions 568 to 898 of the family's 1533-position model. The record is from RNAcentral. Lineage: Bacteria; Pseudomonadati; Pseudomonadota; Alphaproteobacteria; Rhodospirillales; Azospirillaceae.
CGCGCAGGCGGUCUUGAAAGUCAGGCGUGAAAGCCCCGGGCUUAACCUGGGAAUUGCGCUUGAUACUCUGAGACUGGAGUACGGGAGAGGAGAGUGGAAUUCCCAGUGUAGAGGUGAAAUUCGUAGAUAUUGGGAAGAACACCAGUGGCGAAGGCGGCUCUCUGGACCGUAACUGACGCUGAGGCGCGAAAGCGUGGGGAGCAAACAGGAUUAGAUACCCUGGUAGUCCACGCCGUAAACGAUGUGCGCUAGACGUUGGAAGGCUUAGCCUUUCGGUGUCGAAGCUAACGCGGUAAGCGCACCGCCUGGGGAGUACGGCCGCAAGGUUAAA